AACGAACGCUGGCGGCAGGCCUAAAACAUGCAAGUCGAACGCCCUAGCAAUAGGGAGUGGCGCACGGGUGAGUAACGCGUGGGAACGUGCCCUUCAGUACGGGACAACGUCGGGAAACUGACGCUAAUACCGUAUAAUAUCUCCGGAUCAAAGAUUUAUCGCUGAGGGAGCGGCCCGCGUCUGAUUAGCUAGUUGGUGAGGUAAUGGCUCACCAAGGCUACGAUCAGUAGCAGGUCUGAGAGGAUGAUCUGCCACACUGGGACUGAGACACGGCCCAGACUCCUACGGGAGGCAGCAGUUAGGAAUAUUGGACAAUGGGCGAAAGCCUGAUCCAGCCAUGCCGCGUGUGUGAUGAAGGCCUUAGGGUUGUAAAGCACUUUCGUUGGGGAUGAUAAUGACCGUACCCAAAGAAGAAGCCACGGCUAAAUUCGUGCCAGCCGCCGCGGUAA
This 449-nucleotide ribosomal RNA is filed under the name uncultured bacterium. RNAcentral describes it as "partial 16S ribosomal RNA". It matches the Rfam family "Bacterial small subunit ribosomal RNA", at positions 29 to 523 of the family's 1533-position model. The record is from RNAcentral.